RNAcentral lists this ribosomal RNA (278 nucleotides) under uncultured bacterium. RNAcentral describes it as "partial 16S ribosomal RNA". It matches the Rfam family "Bacterial small subunit ribosomal RNA", at positions 511 to 788 of the family's 1533-position model. The record is from RNAcentral.
GCAGCCGCGGUAAUACGUAGGGAGCGAGCGUUGUCCGGAAUUACUGGGCGUAAAGGGCGCGUAGGCGGUAAAUCAAGUCACAUGUGAAAUACCCGGGCUCAACCUGGGGGGUGCAUGUGAAACUGGUAUACUUGAGUGCGGUAGAGGAAAGUGGAAUUCCUAGUGUAGCGGUGAAAUGCGUAGAUAUUAGGAGGAACACCAGUGGCGAAGGCGACUUUCUGGGCCGUAACUGACGCUGAGGCGCGAAAGCGUGGGGAGCAAACAGGAUUAGAUACCCC